Molecule: small RNA, 122 nt
Filed under: Salmonella enterica
Lineage: Bacteria; Pseudomonadati; Pseudomonadota; Gammaproteobacteria; Enterobacterales; Enterobacteriaceae
Also listed under: 2 other names
Description: partial RtT sRNA
Rfam family: RtT RNA
About the family: This family represents a bacterial cis-regulatory element known as RtT RNA. The exact function of RtT is unknown although it is thought that it may be involved in changing the cellular response in relation to amino acid starvation.
Source: RNAcentral
UACGGGGAAGGAUGAGAAGCUUCGACUAAGGUUCGAUUCGAGCGAAAGCGAGAAAGCGUUGCCGCAGGCAACGACCCGAAGGGCGAAGCGCGCAGCGCUGAGUCAUCCUUCCCCCACCACCA